CCGGCGCACGGGUGAGUAACACGUAUCCAACCUGCCGUCUACUCUUGGACAGCCUUCUGAAAGGAAGAUUAAUACAAGAUGGCAUCAUGAGUCCGCAUGUUCACAUGAUUAAAGGUAUUCCGGUAGACGAUGGGGAUGCGUUCCAUUAGAUAGUAGGCGGGGUAACGGCCCACCUAGUCUUCGAUGGGUAGGGGUUCUGAGAGGAAGGCCCCCCACAUUGGAACUGAGACACGGUCCAA
RNAcentral lists this ribosomal RNA (239 nucleotides) under uncultured bacterium. Its description in RNAcentral is "partial 16S ribosomal RNA". It matches the Rfam family "Bacterial small subunit ribosomal RNA", at positions 95 to 334 of the family's 1533-position model. The record is from RNAcentral.